RNAcentral lists this ribosomal RNA (273 nucleotides) under uncultured bacterium. Its description in RNAcentral is "partial 16S ribosomal RNA". It matches the Rfam family "Bacterial small subunit ribosomal RNA", at positions 524 to 796 of the family's 1533-position model. The record is from RNAcentral.
UACGUAGGCAGCGAGCGUUGUUCGGAGUUACUGGGCGUAAAGAGUGCGUAGGCGGUGCUCUAAGUUUGGUGUGAAAUCUCCCGGCUUAACUGGGAGGGUGCGCCGAAAACUGGAGUGCUUGAGUGUGGGAGAGGUAAGCGGAAUUCCUGGUGUAGCGGUGAAAUGCGUAGAUAUCAGGAGGAACACCUGUGGUGUAGACAGCUUACUGGACCAUGACUGACGCUGAGGCACGAAAGCGUGGGGAGCAAACAGGAUUAGAAACCCGCGUAGUCC